AUAUUGUCAUUUAUUUCCGAUACUUAGCACUUUGUUUGACUUUUCAACUAAUUAAGUGAAAAGACGAUUUUACCCUUGGAUAUGGGCAAAAAAGCCCCUGGGUAACCAACGAUGUAGCCUCCCUUGUCAACUUACAUUGUCUCAAAUGUCUAACAACCCAAAAAAAAAAAAAAAAACAUGUUAGGUUAAUUACCAUUCGUUAUCACAAGCCCCACAAAAAAAAACAUUAAAUUGAAAAAGGAACUCUUAUAAUGAAUAUUUUAUGAAGUCAGUGAGCAUAAAGUCUGAUUAGGAGUUCUAUAAUUUUGCAUCACAAAAAAUCAUCUCCCAAAAAAAAUGAGGAAAAUUGCAAAUCAAUUAUUUUGCUUAAGAUCCUUCUUUUUGUUUUGUUAAUGGAAAAUAUGAAGUUGUGCAGCUGCAGCAUGUACUCCAACAACAGCAGCGACUUAUAUGAGAAGUUGAGAUACCUGAGUUGCUUCAUUGAACCUAUGAAUUUCGGGAUCCAUUUUUCCAGCUGCAAAUAAAGAUAUCACAUGUAUUCAGUUAUAGCAAGAUCCUGAAAUCCAUAGGCUCAAUGAAACAACUCAGGUAUCUCAACCUCUCAUCUAAUUCCUUUUUCUGGAAAAGUUCCUGAUGAACUUGGUUAUAUUCCCAGAAGCAUAGGUCAAUUGAGAUCAUUGGAAUCUCUUGAAUGAUUUAUCAAGGAACAUCAUGCUACUCGGACUCUGGUACCCAUAUCGGAAACGGACACAUGUCAGUGUCCGACUCAGCUAUUUUGGGGGAAAACAUUCAUGAUUUUUGUACAAAAUGAAGUAUCCGGUGUCCAUACCCAUGUCCGUGGGGUUGAAGAUCCGACACGGGUACUUGAGGUAAAAAUGAAGAGUCCGGGCAAUAUAGGUCCCAACAAGCAUCAGUGUAAUUUCUCCCUUUGACUUAUCCUACAACAAACUUUCUGGUCCAAUCCCAACUGGAAGGAAGUUGCUGCAGAGUGCAGACCUUCACAAACUCUUCCUAUGCGGGAAAUCAAUAUCUUUGCGGAGACCCACUGGUCAAGAAAUGCAAAACCGAGAAUGACUCACCAAAUGGUUCAUCGGGUGAUCAAAACAACCAAGAUGAAGAAAGCGAGGACAAGCAUCAGACAAUGUGGUUCUACCUGGUUGUGAUGUCAGGAUUUGCUACCGGGUUUUGGUGUGUUGUAGGAACGUUGUUGCAAUCUGAUUUUCUUUAGAGUUGGCAUGUUGAAAUUUGAAAAUGCACAAGACUGGUUGUAAGUGGCCAUUGUUGUUAGGAUGGCUAAGCUCAAGAAUAAAUAAGGUACUCCUAGUUUGUGUGAUAUAUUUUUGGGAAUUUUCCAUUAGAUGGUACACUUAAGGUAUUGAUUUAUUUACUACCAUGACUUAUUCCAUUAAAUAUUUAGCCGUGGUUAAUUGGAUUAAAAAUAAAAAUAAAUUGUCUCAUAGUAUCAAAAAUUAUGUUCAGGACAGGGUGAUGGCGGAUGAAUUAGUUUCUAAAAUACAAGUUGUCGAAGUGAUUUUCCUUGCCGCUAUUUUUUUGCUCUUAUUCUUCUAUGCGAGAUGCAGUUAACCUGUAUGAGCCUAAUAAGAACACAUUUCAUAAACCAAUCAAACAAGAUGUGGAUUAUGUGUUCGUCCUAUAUGAAAUAGACUGGAAGAUGUAAUUAAAGGAGCUUCUUCAUCAACAAUCAUCUCAUAAGUUUGAAUUACUCCCUUCACUGCUCCACCAGUUUUACUAUCACCAUUGGGUACAUAUAUAUAUACCAGAUGACUUUUUUCAAACUUUCAAUGGUUAACCACAGUUAAAGUUUCUAAUGAAAAAGUUCAUCAUAAUAAUGUUAUAAGUGUACUAUUGGUAAGUCAAUUUUUAUUAAGUUCUGCAAACAGUACAAGUGUAUUAAUGGGAAUUUCCCUAUAUUUUUUGUAUGAUAUUUAGAAUUUUUUGUCAUUUAACACCUUAAAAAAAACUAGUUUUUGUAAUUUAACACCUUACUUAUUUUUUAUUGUUUUUAAACACCUUAAAAAAUAAAAAAAAAAUUAGAAAUCAACACCACUUGACAAUUUUUGUUAGAAAAAACAUUAGUUUUUAACUAUGCUAAAGUUCCCAAGGCAUGAUAUGGUGGUAAACAACUCCUUCUACCAUCAAAUUAUGCUUUGGAAGUUACAGCAUGAUUAAAAAUCAACGUUUUUUUCUUAUGGAAAUCGUUAAGCGGUGUUGAUUUAUAAAUUUUUAGAUUUUUAAGGUGUUUAAAUAUAAUAAAAAAAUAAGUAAGGUGUGUAAUUUCAAAAACUAAUUUUUUUAAAGUGUUAAAUGACAAAAAAUCCUGAUAUUUAUCCAACAUAGAUUCUCCCUUUCCUAUUUUUUGUACUCAAGAAUAAAGAAGGUAGUAUGGUACCUUUGUAUUUACUCCCUCCGUUUCUUUUUAUUUUUUACGUUUUUCUUUUUGAGUAUUUCAAAAUGUUUCUUUA
This is a long non-coding RNA of Spinacia oleracea (spinach), 2483 nucleotides long. RefSeq lists it as uncharacterized. The transcript has 2 exons. The record is from RefSeq and is a predicted model, not a curated record. NCBI's taxonomy places the organism in Eukaryota, Viridiplantae, Streptophyta, Magnoliopsida, Caryophyllales, Amaranthaceae.